Molecule: ribosomal RNA, 492 nt
Filed under: uncultured bacterium
Lineage: Bacteria
Description: partial 16S ribosomal RNA
Rfam family: Bacterial small subunit ribosomal RNA
Source: RNAcentral
AGUGAACGCUGGCGGUAGGCCUAACACAUGCAAGUCGAACGGCAGCACAGUAAGAGCUUGCUCUUACGGGUGGCGAGUGGCGGACGGGUGAGGAAUACAUCGGAAUCUACUAUUUCGUGGGGGAUAACGUAGGGAAACUUACGCUAAUACCGCAUACGACCUACGGGUGAAAGCAGGGGAUCUUCGGACCUUGCGCGAUUCAAUGAGCCGAUGCCGGAUUAGCUAGUUGGCGUGGUAAAGGCCCACCAAGGCGACGAUCCGUAGCUGGUCUGAGAGGAUGAUCAGCCACACUGGAACUGAGACACGGUCCAGACUCCUACGGGAGGCAGCAGUAGGGAAUCUUGCACAAUGGGCGAAAGCCUGAUCCAGCCACACCGCGUGGGUGAAGAAGGCCUUCGGGUUGUAAAGCCCUUUUGUUAGGAAAGAACAAAAGCAGGAUAAUCUACCGAUGUUCUGACGGUACCCAAAGAGUAAGCACCGGCUAACUUCGUG